AGGGAUCUAUGCAUGCUAUUAAGUAAGGAUUAAGGCGAUUCAUCUUUGGGUGUUACCUAAUGGGGUAGUGAAUGUAGUGUAGAUUUCAUGGUGAAACAUAAAUAAGGAGUUAUUUAUUAAGGUGACUUAGAGUAUGCUUGAAGUAAGAAAGAGGUUCUUGAUUGUAUUAUGUAGAGUUAGAAAAGUAUAAGUUAUUAAUGAAUGUAUUUGGUGAUUGAGUAUUGUUAAUUUAGUCUUUCC
RNAcentral lists this long non-coding RNA (240 nucleotides) under Capsicum annuum. RNAcentral describes it as "long non-coding RNA (CANN_LNC017197)". The record is from RNAcentral. Lineage: Eukaryota; Viridiplantae; Streptophyta; Magnoliopsida; Solanales; Solanaceae.